GACGAACGCUGGCGGCGUGCCUAAUACAUGCAAGUAGAACGCUGAAGAGAGGAGCUUGCUCUUCUUGGAUGAGUUGCGAACGGGUGAGUAACGCGUAGGUAACCUGCCUGGUAGCGGGGGAUAACUAUUGGAAACGAUAGCUAAUACCGCAUAAAAUGGAUUAUCGCAUGAUAAUCCAUUGAAAGGUGCAAAUGCAUCACUACCAGAUGGACCUGCGUUGUAUUAGCUAGUUGGUGGGGUAACGGCUCACCAAGGCGACGAUACAUAGCCGACCUGAGAGGGUGAUCGGCCACACUGGGACUGAGACACGGCCCAGACUCCUACGGGAGGAAGCAGUAGGGAAUCUUCGGCAAUGGACGGAAGGCUGACCGAGCAACGCCGCGUGAGUGAAGAAGGUUUUCGGAUCGUAAAGCUCUGUUGUAAGAGAAGAAAGAGUGUGAGAGUGGAAAGUUCACACUGUGACGGUAUCUUACCAGAAAGGGACGGCUAACUACGUG
Molecule: ribosomal RNA, 497 nt
Filed under: uncultured bacterium
Lineage: Bacteria
Description: partial 16S ribosomal RNA
Rfam family: Bacterial small subunit ribosomal RNA
Source: RNAcentral